UACGUAGGGGGCGAGCGUUGUCCGGAUUUAUUGGGCGUAAAACGCUUGUAGGCGGCCACAUCGCGUCGUGCGUGAAAUCUCCCGGCUCAACUGGGAGGGGUCGUGCGAUACGGAUGGGCUCGAGGCCGGUAGGGGGACGCGGAAUUCCCGGUGUAGUGGUGGAAUGCGCAGAUAUCAGGAAGAACACCCGUGGCGAAGGCGGCUCUCUGGGACGGUACUGACGCUGAGACGCGAAAGCGUGGGGAGCGAACAGG
Molecule: ribosomal RNA, 254 nt
Filed under: uncultured bacterium
Lineage: Bacteria
Description: partial 16S ribosomal RNA
Rfam family: Bacterial small subunit ribosomal RNA
Source: RNAcentral